GUGUCGUGUCCGUGUCGUGUCGCGUGUCCGUGUCCGUGCAACAUAGGGAAGAGUUAUCUCUUAGUCUUAGGUCUCCAGUGGAUCUAUGACAUUCAGUCUUCAUCUAUUUUGGCUUCUCAAUCUCAUACUGGACUGUGUGUUCAUUCCAUUUUUCAUUCUCCAGAUAAAUCUCAUAAAAUUUCACAUCCCCUCCAGCUCUAACUGUCAACACAGCAGUGCUUACAGUCCCACAGCGUCCCUAUAUAUGUACAUGAGAGAGAGAGAGAGAGAGAGAGAGAGAGAGAGAGAGAGAGUAUGUUAAACAUUUUCAAACAUGUUGUGGAUGUGAAACUUGGAAAUAAAGUAAGGGGAAAUUAAAAAUCAGUGGAAAGACGAAAAAAAAUUGCAAAAUCAUGGAAAAGUUUAUCACUUCAAUUAUUAAAGUUGAUGAGGUUACCACUAAAUUGCAAUUUAGAUUUGGUCUUUCAACCGAAUUGCAAUUUCCCCAAUAAAGUAAUGAUACCUACCAGUCAAUGAAAAUGGAGCUUAGAUUUAAUUCCCAAUCAAGCAAAAAAAAUGCCAGGCAACUUACUUUCAUCAGCUUUAACUGUGUCUCUCAUUAGUUUUCUACCAUCUCAUUCAUUGGAAUUUCACUUUCAGCAUAUUCACUACGCAGUUCCCUAAAACUCUGUUCCAAACGCUGUUCCUGAAAGGGAAAAAAAGGCAUUAUCGCAAGUUAAUUAAUCAUUCACAUAUUGACUAUUUCCAUGUUUCAAUGUACAUCUCUCUCUCUCUCUCUUUGAAUUCACAUUAACAUGUACACAUAUAUGUUCUUUUACAGUAGCUAUUCUUAAUUUGGACCAUGAUCUUCUGUUCUGAAAUUAAUUGUCUCCUGAAAGAAUCUCGAGUCAGGAUUUUGAGUUUGAAUAGUAGAUUUGCUGUUGACCUUAUGUCCCCCUCUGGCCUGUUGGAGACAUAAACCAGGUCUCCAAGGAAAGAUCAGCUAUUAUCAGGUUAAAUCCAUUAUACUGAUGUGCUUCUUCAGCCACUUCCUCUGCAAAUCCUCUGAGACUCUUCGUGCUCUGCAACCACACAGUAUGUUGCAGUACUAUUCUAUUGCUGAGAAUCAAUGAAAUGCAGAAAGAGAAAGAGGACUUUGGUAAUGGUACCUCCACGAAACGCAGCGGGAGGUCUCCUCUGCUUUUGGCAUCGGGAAGGGCAUGAAGCUCCAUCACGUUGGUGAGGAAAGCCACUCUCACUCUUCUCAAACAAGCCAGCCAUGUUCCCCCUGCAACCUCAUCUCUCCCUCCUAGUAUCUCACUGCCUUCCCACCACGCUGCCAGCUUUGUAGGCCUUCACAAACAACAUUCAAAUGAGAGAGAGAGAGAGAGAACGCAAAACUAGACUUGCCUGUUGUGGUAUUCAUCUCUGUUGAACAAGAGGAGAAAUGGGUACAGAGGGUGAGCUUGCCAAACAAACACUGAUACACACGAAGUAUGCCAAGUGUAAGUCCUAACUUGCUGAGAGAUUUUAGAAGUUUGGCUUUGCACAAAUGAUGAAAUUUGAAGAACUUUUUUAUUUUUAUUUUUUAUGAUAUGAAAAAAAGAGAAUUGUCUGGGAAGAAUGGAGAAGAUUUUUAUAUGAACAACAGUUACUUUUUUGACUGUUUUGUUUUGGCAUUAAGAUUGUGUUUAGAUUAACAAUUUGAGAGGAUUUGUGAAGUGAAAAGAAAAAAGAAAGGGAAAUUUUCAUAAA
Non-coding RNA from Camellia sinensis, 1734 nucleotides. The record is from RefSeq and is a predicted model, not a curated record. NCBI's taxonomy places the organism in Eukaryota, Viridiplantae, Streptophyta, Magnoliopsida, Ericales, Theaceae.